CACUCCCCGCGGCGCGAGCGGCUGACUGCCCGGAGAGGAAACGACAUUCGGAGCUGCGCUCCCGCCCAGGCCGGCCCUGACGCGGGCCUCGUCAGCCAGUAACAGGGAGCAGAGGUGGGAGUUAGCGAGGCGACCACGAAAACGGUGAAGGUCAGAACCGACAGCCUCCUCCGAGAAGGGCAGGAGCUGGGAGGAGGCGGCAGCGGCGGCGGCAGAAACAGCAGCGGCGGCGGCGGCGGCAGCUGGGAGGAGGUGGUGACGGUGGCAACGGCAGCGUCGGGGACGAUGGCGCGACUCGUGGCAGUGUGCAGGGACGGGGAGGAGGAGUUCCCCUUCGAGAGGAGGCAGAUUCCCCUCUACAUAGACGACACCCUGACGAUGGUGAUGGAAUUUCCUGAUAAUGUGUUAAAUCUCGAUGGACAUCAGAAUAAUGGUGCACAGCUAAAGCAGUUCAUUCAGCGACAUGGUAUGCUUAAGCAACAGGAUCUAAGUAUUGCCAUGGUGGUGACAUCACGCGAAGUCCUGAGUGCACUUUCUCAGCUUGUCCCAUGUGUUGGUUGUCGUCGCAGUGUGGAGCGCCUCUUUUCCCAGCUUGUAGAGUCUGGAAAUCCUGCUCUUGAACCCCUAACAGUAGGGCCCAAGGGAGUCCUGUCUGUAACUAGAAGCUGCAUGACUGAUGCAAAGAAGCUUUAUACAUUAUUUUAUGUACAUGGGUCCAAACUAAAUGACAUGAUAGAUGCUAUUCCAAAAAGUAAGAAGAAUAAGAGAUGUCAGUUGCACUCCUUAGAUACGCACAAGCCAAAACCUUUGGGAGGUUGUUGGAUGGAUGUAUGGGAACUAAUGUCGCAGGAAUGCAGGGAUGAAGUAGUUUUAAUUGACUCGAGUUGUCUUUUAGAAACACUAGAAACAUAUCUGCGAAAACACAGGUUUUGCACUGAUUGCAAAAAUAAAGUCCUCCGAGCAUACAAUAUCCUUAUUGGUGAACUUGACUGCAGCAAAGAAAAGGGCUACUGUGCUGCACUUUAUGAAGGCUUGCGGUGCUGUCCACAUGAACGACACAUACAUGUUUGCUGUGAAACAGACUUCAUUGCACAUCUUUUGGGUCGUGCUGAGCCAGAGUUCGCAGGAGGGUAUGAGUAUGUAAUUUGCUAGAAUGGGCUAUCUAGCGCUUUGCUUCAUUUUAUUACUGAAAGUUUAUUUUCAUCACCUUCUGCCUCAGUACAUAUGAUAUAUGUAUAAAUUAAAGUGUGCCUGUAAAGAUUUUGCUUCUCUUUAAAGUAUGCAUUUCUUAAUUGACUGAAAAUAGGGAAAAACUGUUCUCUGGUGUUUGGUUCAGUCCUCUGCUAGUUCUUGCUUGAAGGGAGGCAGGCUUUUUUGGCUUUCAUUGUUACAGACUAUCAUUUUCAUUUGAAAAUGAUUAGAAGGGAUUUUUCUCCCUCUAUCCAUGCAUUAUCGUGUGUAAAUUUUAUUCACAAUAAUGGUUUUUGCAUAAGUCAGAUCUUUGCAGUAGGGGAUUAAGAAAUGCCUUAUUGAAUGUAAUUCAUGAACUGUGUAUAUUAUAUUAUUAUUACUACAUAGAAACCUAAAGUAGUAUCUCUGGCUUUGUUGUAAAAAUAAAAUCAGAUGAUGAUGUUAAUAGAAUAAAUCAAAUGCAUUUCCUUUUGUAUUUAGGGUAUCAACCCUCAUUUGAGUGCCUACUUUCUGCUAGAAUACAAAGGGCUUAAAGCCAAAGUUCUGUGAACACUUGUAAAGACUGGCCUGGUGAAGGACUCUUGCCCAUGAUGAAUCACUUUGGCAUUGCCUUUCUCCAUUCCUCCUCAAAACAAAAAACCUAAUGAAGGAAAAAAUGUUUUGCUAUAAUUGGAAAGUAAAAGGAACUGUUGUGUCUACUAUGAGCUGGACACUUCUAUGUGAUUGCAUUGUGCCCUAAAACCCAUCUUUUUAGAGCCAGUUCCUGAAUUACUUUAUUUUUAGCAAUACGAGGACUAAAUUCUACUUGCAUGUGUAUUUCUCAUUGGUUGUAGACAUGCAUGCUUGUAUAGCAACAUAUACGUUGAGUGUAAAUGUAUAACUGUCUUGUUACUAGGUAAGCACAUUGUGUUUAAAACCUGAACUUGCAACUGUGUUAUCCAUCUUUUACUGUUUCAGUUAAAGGUAUUAGUGUGUGAUUAUUCCCUUUUAUAGGCGAAGAGAAAGGCAUGCAAAGACAAUAGAUAUAGCUCAAGAAGAAGUUCUGACCUGCUUGGGAAUUCAUCUUUAUGAAAGACUGCAUCGAAUCUGGCAGAAACUACGGGCAGAAGAGCAGACAUGGCAGAUGCUUUUCUAUCUUGGUGUUGAUGCUUUACGCAAGAGUUUUGAGAUGACCGUGGAAAAAGUACAGGGUAUUAGCAGAUUGGAACAACUUUGUGAGGAAUUUUCAGAAGAGGAACGAGUAAGAGAACUCAAGCAAGAAAAGAAACGCCAAAAACGGAAGAAUAGACGAAAAAAUAAGUGUGUGUGUGAUAUUCCUACUCCCUUACAAACAGCAGAUGAAAAGGAAGUAAGCCAAGAGAAGGUAAUAUUUCUUAAUAUCAACUCUUAAGUGUGUAUGUAUUGCUUGUAGAUAGAAGUACAGGCCAGGUGUGGUGGCUCACGCCUGUAAUCCCAGCACUUUGGGAGGCCCAGGGUGGAGGUAUCACUUGAGCCUAGGAGUUUGGGACCAGCCUGGGCAAGAUAGUGAGAUCUCUAUCUCUAUUUAUUUUAUUUUAUUUUUUUAAUAAAAAUAAAAAGUACAGUCGUCCCUUGGUAUCUGUGGGGUUUGAUUCCAGGACUUCCUGUAGAUACCAAAAUCUGCAGAUGUGCAAGUCCCUGAUGUAAAAUGGUGUAAUAUUUGCAUAUAGUCUAUGCACAUCCUCCUUAUACUUUUAUUUCUGAGACAGGGUCUCACUCUGUCACCCGGACUGGAGUGCAGUGGCACAAUCAUGGCUUACUGCAGCGUUCAUCUCCCAGGCUCAUGUCAUCUUCCCACCUCAGCUUCCCAAGUAGCUGGAACUACAGGCUUACCCCACCAGGCCCAGCUAAUUUUUUGUAUUUUUUGUAGAGAUGGCGUUUUACCAUGUUGUUCAGGCUGGUCUCCAGCUUGUGGGCUCAAGCAAUUCUCCCACCUCGGCCUCCCAAAAUGCUACAAUUACAGGCAUGAACCACCGUGCCUGGCCUCUUGUAUUCUUAAAUUAUCUCUAAAUUACAAUACCUAAUGCAAUGUAAAAGCUAUGUAAGGCUGGGCAUGGUGGCUCACGCCUGUAAUCCCAGCUACUUGGGAGGCUGAGGCAUGAGAAUUUCUUGAACCCAGGAGGCAAAGGUUGCAGUGAGCCAAGAUCGCUCCACUGCAUUCCAGCCUGGGCGACAGAGUGAAACUCUCUCAAAAUAAAUAAAAACUGUUUAAAUAGUUGUUAUACUGUAUUGUUUAGAAAAUAAGGACAAGAAAAAAGUCUGUACAUGUUCAGUACAGAUGCAG
RNAcentral lists this small RNA (3493 nucleotides) under Pan troglodytes (chimpanzee). Its description in RNAcentral is "retained intron". The record is from RNAcentral. Lineage: Eukaryota; Metazoa; Chordata; Mammalia; Primates; Hominidae.